This 467-nucleotide ribosomal RNA is filed under the name uncultured bacterium. RNAcentral describes it as "bacterial SSU rRNA". It matches the Rfam family "Bacterial small subunit ribosomal RNA", at positions 31 to 518 of the family's 1533-position model. The record is from RNAcentral.
GAACGCUGGCGGCAUGCCUAACACAUGCAAGUCGAACGGAAGUAGAAAUACUUAGUGGCGAACGGGUGAGUAACACGUGAGCAACCUGCCUUAUACACAGGGAUAACAGUUGGAAACGACUGCUAAUACCGGAUAAGACCACACUAUGGCAUCAUAGAGGGGUCAAGGCGAAUAAGCGGUAUAAGAUGGGCUCGCGUCCAAUUAGCUAGUUGGUGAGGUAACGGCCCACCAAGGCGACGAUUGGUAGCCGACUUGAGAGAGUGAUCGGCCACACUGGAACUGAGACACGGUCCAGACUCCUACGGGAGGCAGCAGUGGGGAAUAUUGGGCAAUGGAGGAAACUCUUACCCAGCCAAUGCCGCGUGAGUGAUGAAGGUCUUUGGAUUGUAAAGCUCUUUGAUUGGGGACGAAUACGAUCCGACGGUACCAAGAACCUAAGGCCCGGCUAACUAUGUGCCAGCCGCCGC